RNAcentral lists this ribosomal RNA (248 nucleotides) under uncultured bacterium. RNAcentral describes it as "partial 16S ribosomal RNA". It matches the Rfam family "Bacterial small subunit ribosomal RNA", at positions 524 to 772 of the family's 1533-position model. The record is from RNAcentral.
UACAGAGACUGCAAGCGUUAUUCGGAUUCACUGGGCGUAAAGGGUGCGCAGGCGGCCGUGUGUGUGAGGCGUGAAAGCCUGGAGCUUAACUCCAGAAUUGCACCUCAACUACACGGCUAGAGCAUUGGAGAGGGUAGCAGAAUUCACGGUGUAGCAGUGAAAUGCGUAGAUAUCGUGAGGAAUACCAGAGGCGAAGGCGGCUACCUGGACAAUUGCUGACGCUCAGGCACGAAAGCGUGGGGAGCAAA